CUUACCCAGGCCUGACUCAAGUCACAGCUCCACCUGUUAGCAUAACUUCUCAGCCAGGGUCAACUGAGACAAUCCUUCCUUCUGCGCAGUCUUCGGUGGUGCACUCCGCCCAAUACCCCCCAGAAAAGGAGCAGUCAGAACAGAGUGUCGUCGCAGAGCACGUCGACAUAUGUGAGCUGUGUACCUGCAGAAAUGAGACGCUGUCGUGCACUGGACUCAGCCCAAAUCAGAGGCUCCGCAGUGUGCCUGUUCUAGGGCCCAAGAGCUACAACCACACCUUCACCGUCUUAGAUUUCCAAGGAAACGCUAUUUCUUACAUUGAUGGAAAUACAUGGAAGGCAUUCCAGUGGGUUGAGACACUAAUUCUCAGGGAUAAUGCUUUGAC
This is a long non-coding RNA of Phacochoerus africanus (Common warthog), 385 nucleotides long. RefSeq lists it as uncharacterized. The transcript has 3 exons. NCBI's taxonomy places the organism in Eukaryota, Metazoa, Chordata, Mammalia, Artiodactyla, Suidae. The record is from RefSeq and is a predicted model, not a curated record.